CGGUAGAAGAACGCCGCGGGCUGGUAUACGCAGGAACCGGCUGGGGCUUCUGGGCUGCGCGUGCGCAGUUGUCGUUGGUUGGGGGAGGUGCCGGUGCCUCCACCGCCCCCGCGGCCGGGUCUCCGUGGCCCGCUCGUUUGUCUGCUCCCGGCUGGGCGGUUAGCGCCGGUUUUGUGGGCACCUGCCUCUGGGGAGCUGUUUCCCCCGGGCUGCUCAAGCGAUACGGCAGCCGCUGACGUGGCGACGAGCCGUUCCAGCCGGUCCUCGCUCUCCGCCCGGAUUGGACUAGGCCGAGGUCGCCGGCUCGCAGCGGGUCAGGAGUGUGAGCUCAUGCCCCCUGUCCCCGGAACACCGCUUCCCUGAGGAAGGGAUGAGUGAAGAGCAAAGCAGCCUCUGAGCUCCUACUCCUUUAAGAACAGGGAAAGCAGAGGGUUGGAGCCAUGUAACCUUCUCAAGAUUGGGAGCGGACUGGAGGCCAACCAACCAUACAGCAGCUGAUAUAGGACACACUGGGGCAUCCAGGAGAGAGAAUGAUUGGUGGCAGGAACCUUACAAAAAGACGUAGAGUUCCCAUGAUAAAUAUAAAGUCCCAGAGGAUGCUGAAGAUGCUUAGAGAAGAUUUACUGAAGGUGUUUGAAGAAGUCUGCUCUGUAUCCUGCAAUAUCAACUUCAUCUCCACUGAAGGAAGGAGGCUCUCAAAUACACCAAAAAGAUGGAAAGUAAAAUGAACUUUCACAUCUUAGUCUAAAUCCAGUGAAAAUUCUGUCUCCUCCCAAACCAGCCCUAUGGAUUGAUAGUGUCACUGCUCUGGUGGAAGGAAGCUGUUGUGGAAGGUCAUGGAAGCGGAGGUGAUCCCAUGGAGAGCUGAGAAUGUCAGGACAGAGAAUUUGAGUUGGACUCUGUAUUCAGUGGGGAGCCAAUACAGAGUGAAAUACUGGGAUGAUGUGCUCAUGGAGAGGCUAUGGGGAAACACCCUCACCACAAAAAAGUGUGCCAUGAUCUGCAGAUGCACUCUAGAUGCUCUGUGUCAAACAAAUGACUGCUUUGUUCCUGACCUGAAGAGUUGACCAUUUAAGACCCUCAUUCUGCAGUUGGACCCAUGUGAGCAAAUCCUUAUGCCUGGCUGGAGCCUCAUUGUAUUCACUGGCACUUGGAAUGGGCAUGAGGAUCCAUCCAUGCAGGAUCAAGGCCAAUCCUAUAAAAUGCUGAGUAGGCCUGGCUUAAAAAAGGCUGCACAGAAGGAGAGACAUAGUCCAUCUGGGCAGCAUGGCUCAUAGAAGAGAAUGAGGACACCAGGCAACUGAAUUUUCAUGAGGCGUGGCAACAGCAUUUCCAGAAAUGUGCACAAAUGAUGAAGUGACUUGAACUCAGAACACACACAGAUUGGUCAGUGUGCCUCAGGGAAGAGGUUUUUGAAGGUGGAGAGUGGCUCUAGAAUUUUCAUUGGGAAGCUCUCCAAUGCAUGAGGGUACCAUGAAAGGGGGAACGAAGUAAGGAGCAGCUAGAGGCAGAUAUGGUGGAGUGCAAGAAUCACAAGCAGUGAAACCACUAGUGAAGAGACGAAGGGAAUUCCACAAACUUUGGUGAAACUGAAGGAAGAACUCCUCUUGCCUGCAGACUUAUGCAACAAAGUGGACUAUUCAUUUAAACAGUUAACAUAUUUUUAAAAAUCAUUUUACUGGCCACUUUCUGGUUUAAGACCCUACAAGCCAUUGAUGAAAGUAGUUUACUUCAAGACUCUGAAGUUACACUUGAUGAUGAAUCAAGGCUGAUGAAAUCACUUCUAAGUGCACUGGAGGGCCUUUGAGAAUCUUGGCCUCUGUUUUUUGACAAGUCAACAUUUGUAGCAGCUGGUCUGGGCCUUGAACAAGAUUUCAAAAAGAAAAGAGGAAAACUUUCCAUGAUGGAGAUGACCACUGCAUGUGGCCAGGAAAACCAAGAAACUUAAUUCAAAGUUGAUGUUUUUUACAUUGCUCUAGAUAUGCUUAUAUGCAAAAUUACAAGAAGAUCUGAAACAACUGAAAAAAUGAACAGCAUAUCUUCACUUAUUUGGAGCCUGACAAGAAAUGAUGGCAAGUACAGUAUCUCAAAAGUUCAAACUAUCAAAAUGCUACCAAUACAUUUGAUGGAAGAUGAUUCUGUUGAAGAAAUUCACCUUUUAAAAUAAGCUGAGAGAGUGACUAUUUGAAAAAGUGAUUUUAAUUAAGUUGUUAAACAAGACUUACGAAAAAGGACUGCAGAAUAUUUCCCCACAUCUGCAUUGCUCUAAGGAUUUUUGUCUCUAUGCUGAUUUUGGUUUCCCAAGAGGAGUGAUCCUUUAGCAAAUUAGCCCUGCUGCUGCGCUUUUUUUUUUUUUUAAAGCCUCCAAUCUACCAUGGGUAAAUAGCAUGUAUUGGCCUUAGUGAUGCUGUCGAUAGAGUAUGAUCUUGCAAGGAGCCUAAAUUAUAACUCAUUUGUUGCUAUCUUUUUGUUUUUGUAAAGAUGUGAUGUGAUUUCUUUUGUGAUAAUAAAUCAGCUUUAAAGUUUUCAA
Dermochelys coriacea (leatherback sea turtle) is the source of this 2530-nucleotide long non-coding RNA. RefSeq lists it as uncharacterized. Lineage: Eukaryota; Metazoa; Chordata; Testudines; Dermochelyidae. The record is from RefSeq and is a predicted model, not a curated record. The transcript has 8 exons.